GUCUAUGGCCAUGCUACUCUGAAAAAGCCCGAUCCCAUCUGAUCUCAGAAGCUAAGCAGGGUCAGGCCCGUUAGUACUUGGAUGGGAGAUCACCUAGAAGACCAGGUGCUGUAGACG
Molecule: ribosomal RNA, 117 nt
Filed under: Pteropus alecto (black flying fox)
Lineage: Eukaryota; Metazoa; Chordata; Mammalia; Chiroptera; Pteropodidae
Source: RNAcentral